GUGACUUUUUCGAAAGCAGUGAUUGCUCUCAAACAGAUUGGAGAUAAUUUCACAUAAAAAUUUUAAAUUUGCUUCGAAAGCAUCGUUGUGAACUUGCUGUUUUAUCAUUUCUUCGUUUUGUUGAAUGAGAAAAAAACAGAAGAACAAGUUUUCUACUUCAGAAAUGUUGGAAUUCGGAAAGAAUUAUGCAGUGACGUGCAAAGUUGCGAGGGAACGAAUGCCAAGAAACGUGAGCGGCUAGUUCACGAAUUGAGGAUCUGCAUCAACUGCACAUGGACUUGAUGGUAUCACCAUCCAAUGAAUGCCCCUCUUCAAUAUUUCAGAUUUGACAAACACAUGUACAGAAAUUAUAUAACAUACUGGAACUUCUCUUAAAUACGUGACAAAAUCGAAUAUUCAAUAAAGUUGACUGUAAAACACUGUGUACCAAUAAAAAUUCUUGUUUUUCUGUGUUUUCA
This is a long non-coding RNA of Leptinotarsa decemlineata (Colorado potato beetle), 458 nucleotides long. The record is from RefSeq and is a predicted model, not a curated record. NCBI's taxonomy places the organism in Eukaryota, Metazoa, Arthropoda, Insecta, Coleoptera, Chrysomelidae.